AAUAGAUACCCCGGUAGUCCACGCCGUAAACGAUGGAUGCUAGCCGUCGGCAAGCUUGCUUGUCGGUGGCGCAGCUAACGCAUUAAGCAUCCCGCCUGGGGAGUACGGCCGCAAGGUUAAAACUCAAAGGAAUUGACGGGGGCCCGCACAAGCGGUGGAGCAUGUGGUUUAAUUCGACGCAACGCGAAGAACCUUACCAGCUCUUGACAUGUCCGGUCGGUUUCCAGAGAUGGAUUCCUCCUAGCAAUAGGCCGGAACACAGGUGCUGCAUGGCUGUCGUCAGCUCGUGCCGUGAGAUGUUGGGUUAAGUCCCGCAACGGGCGCAACCCUCGCCAUUAGUUGCCAUCAUUCAGUUGGGCACUCUAGUGGGACUGCCGGUGAUAAGCCGGAGGAAGGUGGGGAUGACGUCAAGUCAUCAUGGCCCCUUACGGGGCUGGGCUACACACGUGCUACAAUGGCGGUGACAAUGGGCAGCAACUCAGCAAUGGGGAGCUAAUCUCAAAAAGCCGUCUCAGGUUC
This 519-nucleotide ribosomal RNA is filed under the name uncultured bacterium. Its description in RNAcentral is "bacterial SSU rRNA". It matches the Rfam family "Bacterial small subunit ribosomal RNA", at positions 777 to 1295 of the family's 1533-position model. The record is from RNAcentral.